Molecule: non-coding RNA, 89 nt
Filed under: Niallia circulans
Lineage: Bacteria; Bacillati; Bacillota; Bacilli; Caryophanales; Bacillaceae
Description: Bacillus circulans c-di-GMP sequence
Rfam family: c-di-GMP-I riboswitch aptamer
About the family: GEMM was predicted in a large-scale screen for bacterial structured RNA regulatory elements. Genes associated with GEMM are involved in a diverse array of functions, including chemotaxis regulation, signal transduction, secretion and chitin.
Source: Rfam by way of RNAcentral
AACAGAUAAAGGCAAACCAUCUGAAAGGGUGGGACGCAAAGCUUCAGGUCUAAGGUAGAUUUUUUUACUAUGAUGGCUGGGCCACCUUA